This 433-nucleotide ribosomal RNA is filed under the name uncultured bacterium. Its description in RNAcentral is "partial 16S ribosomal RNA". It matches the Rfam family "Bacterial small subunit ribosomal RNA", at positions 29 to 507 of the family's 1533-position model. The record is from RNAcentral.
AACGAACGCUGGCGGCAUGCCUAACACAUGCAAGUCGAACGAGACCUUCGGGUCUAGUGGCGCACGGGUGCGUAACGCGUGGGAACCUGCCCUUAGGUUCGGAAUAACUCCCCGAAAGGGGUGCUAAUACCGGAUAAUGUCUUCGGACCAAAGAUUUAUCGCCUUUGGAUGGGCCCGCGUUGGAUUAGCUAGUUGGUAGGGUAAAAGCCUACCAAGGCGACGAUCCAUAGCUGGUCUGAGAGGAUGAUCAGCCACACUGGGACUGAGACACCGCCCAGACUCCCACGGGAGGCAGCAGUGGGGAAUAUUGGACAAUGGGCGAAAGCCUGAUCCAGCAAUGCCGCGUGAGUGAUGAAGGCCUUAGGGUUGUAAAGCUCUUUUACCCGGGAUGAUAAUGACAGUACCGGGAGAAUAAGCUCCGGCUAACUCCGUG